CGACUCGUCGUUCGCUCUCGCCGCUUAACACCGGUGAGCGUUGCAACAGCUCGCUGCCGGGCUGGGAGGGAAACCUCCGCAACGUCAUUCACGGCAGCUCGCCCUGAGCCGCGCCACGUGGCGCAGGGUUAAACCCAGUGGAUCGGCCCAAUGCAGCGUGUGCGUGCGCGUCAGAGGGCUCAAAACCAAAUCACUGCACUAAGCAUGUAGCGCCUGAUGUGGAUGAUUCGCGGACGGGGGUUCAAUUCCCCCCGGCUCCACCA
This 263-nucleotide transfer-messenger RNA is filed under the name Betaproteobacteria bacterium. RNAcentral describes it as "partial transfer-messenger RNA". It matches the Rfam family "transfer-messenger RNA", at positions 101 to 374 of the family's 374-position model. From Rfam's summary of the family: Bacterial tmRNA, also known as 10Sa RNA or SsrA, is named for its dual tRNA and mRNA-like properties. Lineage: Bacteria; Pseudomonadati; Pseudomonadota; Betaproteobacteria. The record is from RNAcentral.